AGGUUGAGAACUGGAGGAGGAAAGCGAUGGAGACCUGCUCAUCAAGUAACCAACUCCUGGCUGCAGAGGAUCAGCGGAGUACUGCUGCCAAUAUUCUAAGACUUAUACAUGACCCGCUGACCAGCCACAUGGAGAUGGUAACUGAGAUUGUUGUCCCGACUGUCUGCACGCUCUCCAUUUUACUCAGUGCCAUCUUCCUCAUGUUCCUGCUCCAGAGGCGCAACUAAAUGGUGCACACAGUCACAACCCCGCAAUACACAACCACUCGCACAAGAAGUGAAUCAGAUAUUUAAUGGAUUGUGUGUUCACAUAAAUACAUUCUUUUUGGUUGAAUUUCAAUUUGAUGUGGAAAAAGUGUUCGCCAUAACAAAGAAAGCUGAACAUUUUUUGAAUCUUGCCCAUUAAAACAUUGCUGUGAAAUAUCGCGCCCACCCCACUGUCUUGUUUUUGCUUCAAGGUUGUGGAAGUUGCCAGGGAACAAAAUUCUUCCUGUGAGGUUUGUGGCGCUAAGUUACCUGACAAAAAA
Long non-coding RNA from Hippocampus comes (tiger tail seahorse), 526 nucleotides. RefSeq lists it as uncharacterized. The transcript is spliced from 3 exons. The record is from RefSeq and is a predicted model, not a curated record. Lineage: Eukaryota; Metazoa; Chordata; Actinopteri; Syngnathiformes; Syngnathidae.